Molecule: ribosomal RNA, 230 nt
Filed under: uncultured bacterium
Lineage: Bacteria
Description: partial 16S ribosomal RNA
Rfam family: Bacterial small subunit ribosomal RNA
Source: RNAcentral
CGGACUGAGUAACGCGUAGGUGACCUGCCCCGAAGUGGGGAAUAACUGCCCGAAAGGGUGGCUAAUACCGCAUGUGGUGGUUCGUUCAUUCGGACCAUCAAAGCAGUAAUGCGCUUCGGGAGGGGCCUGCGUCCGAUUAGCUCGUUGGUGGGGUAACGGCUCACCAAGGCGACGAUCGGUAGGUGGUCUGAGAGGACGAUCACCCAGACUGGGACUGAGACACGGCCCAG